Molecule: RNA transcript, 1687 nt
Organism: Drosophila gunungcola (fruit fly)
Lineage: Eukaryota; Metazoa; Arthropoda; Insecta; Diptera; Drosophilidae
Gene name: serine protease grass-like
Exons: 7
Source: RefSeq, a predicted model, not a curated record
ACAACAUAGCUACAACAAAAAAAAUAAAUUUGUGGAAUGUGAAAAUAAAAACUGAUAAGAGAGAUCGAAGCUGAGAGUUAGUCACAAAUUCGUUGUCAUUUCCUUCCUAAAUCUUGUGAAAUGCAGACUUAUUUAGCUUGUAUUUUUUUGAUCACUUGCUUUCCUUGCUACCUGGGAACCUCCCUGUUUUUGGAUAAUCGUUGUGGAUAUUUAAAUGUAGGCAAAGUUGUCAAUGGACAGAAUGCAAAUCAAGAAUACGCUGCUUGGAUGGCAGCUAUAAGAAAUGAGACCGAUUUUUUUUGCGGAGGCACGCUGAUUCACAAUCUUUUUGUUUUAACUGCCGCCCAUUGCACGCACAAACGAAAAAAAUUAUUUGUAAGUUUGGGAGCAUACAACAAAAGUGAUCCUCUCCUUGAGUACAAUGUCACUACUGCAAUAGUGCACCGUUUGUGGUCCAUACACAAGUAUCAGCAUGAUAUAUGCUUGCUGAAAUUAUCAAGAAGGGUCGAGUACAACCUCCGCGUUCUUCCGAUCUGUAUAAUUGUGGAUAAGAAUAGGAGUUUGCUUCCGGCAACGUUUAAAGCCUUUGGCUGGGGAAUAAAAAGUGACGGCAUGGAUUCGGAUAUACUUCAAACAUUCACACUUAACCAUUUAAAUCAAACCAAGUGCAAAAGCCGCUUGGAUGUGACUCUCAGUUCGGACGAGAUAUGUGCAGGUGCCUAUAACAGCGAUUCCUGCAAUGGCGAUUCCGGAGGUCCAUUAAGUACUACUCUGGCCCUUAAUGGCAGUAGGCCGCGAAUUUCAGGUCGGUAUCGUAAGCUUUGGCCUAAAAACUUGCAAUGGCCCGGGAGUGUACACCAAUGUGGCUAGUUAUGUGGACUGGAUACAGAAAAACCUAAACGACCAUGAUGAUUCUAAUAAGCCACAACAAUCUCCGCCUGCAAUAAUUCAAGACAUGUGGUUGCACGGGGACUGCGGUGGCGAAACCAUGGCAUCAAUUUUACAGGCCGAAAUUUUUGGACUUAAUUUUAGGGCCAAGGGAGUGCUGAUCACAGACCGUUUUGUCAUAACAGUUGCCAGAGACUUACCGGAAAACACUGCUGCGCUAAAUUUGAAAUGUUUUUACAACUAUUCCACAGAGAAGUUGAUGUAGUCGGAAAAGGACGGUCCCAUGGUGAAUACAGAGUUGACUUAGUCCUUAAGCACAAAAUAAAUGAUAUAGCUUUGCUAAAACUUAAUCGACCGGUGACGCCACCAGACGGAAUAAAACCAAUCUGUAUGCUUUCAAACACACAACUCCAACGGAAAGGGGAACCUAAUUCGCCCCUUUUUGUAUUAGACAACGUGCGAAUUUCCGCUGUUAACGUUGAAUUUGUUAAUCCCCUUGAGUGUUCAUUCAGGACCCAGAGAUCAAUCAAUACGAAUGAAAUUUGUGCGAAUGCUCUUUCUGGAAUGAGCCAUACAUUUUUAAAACCUGGCGACAUAUUGGGACAAUAGGAUUAUGAUUUCGGAAAAAGAACGGUUCGUUUUAUUUGGUUUGGUAAGCUAUUCAUAUAAUGGUUGCCACAUUCUUACAAAUGUUAUGAGACAAACUGAGUUGAUCGCAAAUGCGAUGAAAAAAUAUUAAGCUAAGCAACCAACUAGAAUGGCUUUACCAAGGUUUUAAAUUUCGAAUAAACUAUAAAAU